This 102-nucleotide transfer RNA is filed under the name Pseudomonas sp. PDM07. Its description in RNAcentral is "tRNA-OTHER". It matches the Rfam family "tRNA". Rfam says of the family: Transfer RNA (tRNA) molecules are approximately 80 nucleotides in length. Their secondary structure includes four short double-helical elements and three loops (D, anti-codon, and T loops). Further hydrogen bonds mediate the characteristic L-shaped molecular structure. tRNAs have two regions of fundamental functional importance: the anti-codon, which is responsible for specific mRNA codon recognition, and the 3' end, to which the tRNAs corresponding amino acid is attached (by aminoacyl-tRNA synthetases). tRNAs cope with the degeneracy of the genetic code in two manners: having more than one tRNA (with a specific anti-codon) for a particular amino acid; and 'wobble' base-pairing, i.e. permitting non-standard base-pairing at the 3rd anti-codon position. Lineage: Bacteria; Pseudomonadati; Pseudomonadota; Gammaproteobacteria; Pseudomonadales; Pseudomonadaceae. The record is from RNAcentral.
GACUCAUAAGCUUAGUGGUUGAGCGUCCUCCUUCACAAGCGAAUUGUUUUCAGUUCGCUUGUGAAGGGGAAGGGUCCAGUUCGAUUCUGGAAUGAGUCACCA